This 292-nucleotide ribosomal RNA is filed under the name uncultured Bacteroidota bacterium. Its description in RNAcentral is "uncultured Bacteroidetes bacterium partial 16S ribosomal RNA". The record is from RNAcentral. Lineage: Bacteria; Pseudomonadati; Bacteroidota.
GGACUACCAGGGUAUCUAAUCCUGUUUGAUACCCACACUUUCGUGCCUCAGUGUCAGAUUCGGUACGGCAUGCUGCCUACGCUAUCGGAGUUCUUCGUGAUAUCUAUGCAUUUCACCGCUACACCACGAAUUCCGCAUACCUCCACCGAUCUCAAGUUCCGCAGUUUCGACGGCAAUUUUCCCGUUAAGCGGAAAGAUUUCACCGCCGACUUACUGAACCACCUACGCACCCUUUAAACCCAAUAAAUCCGGAUAACGCUCGCAUCCUCCGUAUUACCGCGGCUGCUGGCAC